Long non-coding RNA from Haemorhous mexicanus (house finch), 3891 nucleotides. RefSeq lists it as uncharacterized. The record is from RefSeq and is a predicted model, not a curated record. NCBI's taxonomy places the organism in Eukaryota, Metazoa, Chordata, Aves, Passeriformes, Fringillidae. The transcript is spliced from 3 exons.
GCCCCGGUGCCGGCCUGAGGGCGGCCGUGGCUGCGCAGCGGCGCCAUUGGCGGAGCGGGCCCGGGAGCGGCGGCGGAGCUCGGAGGCGGCCGGAGCGCAGUCAGAGAGUAGCAGCACUGCUACCAGUGGCAGUCUGGUACGGACUGGCCUCCUCACCUCUGAUCCACAGGGGUUUUCUUGGUGCCCUGAGAGUUUUUCCCAGAUGGAGUUCCCGAUCCAGUCUUGCCUCUCACCUCUGGUUUUCCCUUCUUCUGGAGCCAUUCUGCCAUGACCCUUAUUGUAGCAACUGCCUUCCCUCAAUUUGGUCCCAAUUCGGGUUGCAAGGAGAGCGCUCUAUGGAACAGUACUGGAAACUGAGAUGUUAUUUUGACUGUCAACUCUGAGCUGAACAAAACUUGAACUUUAUAACUAUAACUGAUAAAAACGCGAGCAGGCUCCCAGUACCAAAGUGAUUUCAGCAUUUAUUACAAGAAAAAGAAAGGCCCAAAGCAAGGGGGCCCGCGGGCCGAGCAGGAGCGUUCCCGUCGAGGAUGCUGCAGCGCCGGCGCUGGGGCUGCUUCAGCAGCGAUGGCCCCGAUGUCCCAGGUGGAGCGGCACAGAUUCAGUGGUGUGCUCUGGGAAUCCUGAACUUCAUGUGCCAGAGGAAUCUUUAACUUUGUGUGCCCCGGGACUCCUGAAUUUCGUGUCUCCCGAGAAUCCUGACUUUCGUGUGCCCCCAGAAUCCUGAAUUUCAUGUGCUCUGAGAUUCUUGAAUUCCGUGUGCCCUAGUAUCCUGAACCUCGUGUGCCCCAGGAAUCCUGAACUUCAUGUUCCCUGGGAAUCCUGAACUUCACCUGUCCCUGCCUUUCUCAGACACCGGCUGCCACUGUCCUGUCCUCACUGUUUUCUUCAUUACUGCUCUGCAUUUUCUCCACACCAUAGCCACCCCCUACUGCCUUGCCUGCAGGUCCCCACAGUUCCACCUCCCUCAAAACUCCUGAUACAUCUCAAACUUCUGAUACAUCUCAGUGUCCUGGGUUGCCAAGCACAUUGUGUUCUAUUUGCCAUCUGCAUGGCAGUUGUCUUCUGAUAAUUGGGCAGUUUUCCUUAUCUCUUCCACCACCACUCCUCCCUCCAGAGACAUCUGCUGAUAACAGGCCAUUGAAUGUCACUGCAUGGCUGAUAACAACUAUGGCAUCCCAUUGGGAGAUGCUCUUCCCAGAGGGAGGAGCCAAGCAUUCCUACCCGGAUAUAAUCUGGAGAUUCUGGAACAGCAGCACGGCUUCUCCACUGGAUUCCCAGAGGAACAGCAGCUGCCUCUUCCCCUGGAUCUUCAGAGGAAGAACACACCCUUUUACAGGAUCCCUGCUCCAGCAGAACCACCCCUGACACUCCAGGAGGGCUACAGCCACAAUUCCAACUGGACUGCUGCCAACACCCUGACCCACAGGGUGUCACGUUGUGUUCUGACUCUGGCAGUGUGGGUUUAGUUUACGGCAUUGUUUAUUUUAUUUUCUUCCCUAAUAAAGAUCUGUUAUCCCUGCUCCUAUAUCUUUGCUUGAGAGCCCCACAUUCCAAAUUCAUAGCACAGGGAGGGGAUUUACAUUUUCCAUUUCAGGGGAGGCUCCUGCCUUCCUUAGCAGACUCCUGUCUGUUCAAACCAAGACAGAUUUUGGCGCCAAUAUGCAGCUUGAGGGCAUUGAGAGAAAAAGGAAUAACAGUUCUUGAGUAAUCUAAUUUUUGUGUGCUGCUAUUGAAACCUCGUUAGGUGUCACCAUGUGGUCCAGCUUACCCUGCUUUGGGUGGCACAUGGCCCUGGCUACACUUCUCCCAUUUGCAGGCCCUUAUCUCAACAUGGGUCCUGUAACCAAGGCUACUGUGGCUGUUAUCCAGUUUGCUUUACAGGUUAAUAAGGUGAGCAAUUAACGGAUUUUUAACUUCCUCUGGAAAGCAGGCACAUGGAUUCAGAGCUACCACACCCUAACUGUACAGUUUUGGGGUCACUUUAAUAAUGGCACCCACUGUGAGGAAAUGACACCGGGAGAAAUUUUCUCUCAACCCUUCACCCAGCUCUUUGGGUCUGCCCCACCAGUUUUCGAAGGGUUCAGAUCCACUCUAAAUGCUAAUGAUAUCAGACAGUGGCUGGUGUUGCUGAUAGGCCUGUUAACCCUUUUUAUUUAGCAUUCAGUGAUAAGGGAAGGCUGACUUGGAUAACCACCCUGACACCUGUGGUAAUCACAUAUCCUCUGAACAGAGAGAGAGACAGCUCUGCCAGGAUUUUCCUGGGAAGCUGUGAGGAGCUGUGGCAAACUUAGAGAAAAGAAUUCAAACAAUUAUUCUCUCUCUUUCUGCAACCAUUAUUUAUAGAUAGGGUUCUCCAGAGUGUGCUAUUCAUAGUUCACCAAGAGUGUGAGAGGUUUUCACUUUGAGACCAAUCAGAUCUCACCUUAGCGAGUCACACUAUACAAGACCCGCUGCUUUCAUUAAAUGCUUUUUGCCUCCUGAUCCACCUGAGGACCGGAGUCUUUCAUUCCAUCCCUGACUCAACAGCGUCAUCCGGUGACCGCCGACGUGUGCUGCAGCCUAGGCUGGAGGCACAGGGUCUGCUGGACCCCGACCUUUGGUGCAGCCGAGGCUGAAGAAACAGGACCUUAAGGGAUCCGGCCGAGUUCACAGCUGAGACUGAACAUGGGCGGGGUCUGGUGACCCCUCAUGGAAUCGCAGGACAGCCGGGACACGUCCUGAGAUGAGCGACCCAGCGACCCUCUGCGAUCGGACACCGUUUGCCCUCUUGAGUGAGGUAACUCUGCCUUUGCCCCGUGUCUUCCUGAGGAGACUGGUCCUGUUCAGACCACAGGGUUGGGGGCAAACGACAGACCAAACAAACCUCCCCCGGGAGGCUGAGAACUGAGCAGGGGAUGGCUUUUCCCGAAACAGCAGACUGUCUGUCUCUUGAAGUGGACGCCUGCUGAGGGAUGGGUUUUCCUUAAAAAUGGGGAACCAACCUUCCAGAGAUGAACAACUUGUUCUGGCCAUGCGGAGGAAUGUCAUACCUCCCAUGGGAAUUGCAGUCUCAGAUGAAGUGCUCUGUGAUCUGCUGGGCUGGGCCAGAGAUCACGGGUUCCUGGUGGAGCUGGGCGCUGCACUGAGUCUGAGAACUUGGGAGGAAUUGGGGGAUUGCCUCUGGGAUGAGGUUUGCAGAGGGGACGCAGUCGUGUCCGCACCGAUCGUCACCUGGAGAUGCAUUUCUAAAUUCCUUCGGUGCAAGGUCCUGGGGAGCAGAGCACUGACAAAGCCAACUUGUUUUUCACCUCUUGUCAAAAGUACAUAUUAUAUGGCUCUAUGCAGAUAUUUACUAUGUGUAUUAUGUAUGAUUAGUAGUGCUGUAUUAACAUUUUAAUAGUAUUGUAAUUGUAGUUUUGCAGUUAAAAUGUAACUUUUGUAGUUAAAAUAGAAACUAUGUGUGCGGGAUUAUUUUUAAAGAAAGGAAUAAGGCACUCACACCAGAGAGCAGCCACAGGACAUCUACAUCUUUCAGAGAAAAAGAAUUUAUUGCUCCAUCAUCAGAAGAAACCAACUUCUUCCUGCCUUGCUCAGCCAUGAAUAUGCCGUCAGGAUUCAGAGGACGAAGUUGACACUGACCAGGCAGAAUCCUUUGUUUGAAUGGAAUUCAUGCAUCAUGUAUGAUGUGUAUGAAUAUGCCUAUUGCUUUUAAGGAUUAAUCCUCUGUUAAGGUGUGUCCUUUUUUGGGCUUAUUUUGCCCAGAGAGAGGUACCUGGACUUUUCAUAACUCUUUGUUUUUAUUGUCUUGUAUUGUCCUAAUCCAAAUUGUUCAAAUGUUUAUUACUUUAAUUAUAUUACUAUUUUUAUAACCAUUUUAUUACUAUUAAACUUUUAAAAUUCUGAAAAUAA